RNAcentral lists this non-coding RNA (158 nucleotides) under Medicago truncatula (barrel medic). RNAcentral's name for it is "Bacterial large subunit ribosomal RNA". It matches the Rfam family "Bacterial large subunit ribosomal RNA", at positions 2474 to 2632 of the family's 2925-position model. The record is from Rfam by way of RNAcentral. Lineage: Eukaryota; Viridiplantae; Streptophyta; Magnoliopsida; Fabales; Fabaceae.
AUAAUAGGUCGAUCUUCCCUAACAGCUCAUAUGAAUGGGAUGAAUAGGCAGCUUGAUGCUGAUAAUUUGCCUCCUGCAACUGUGUGUGUCCCAAGCGUUGGAUUGUUCGGCCAUUUAAGCAGUAAGUGAGCCAAGUUCAGAACAUCGCGAGACAGCUC